This 809-nucleotide ribosomal RNA is filed under the name uncultured bacterium. Its description in RNAcentral is "bacterial SSU rRNA". It matches the Rfam family "Bacterial small subunit ribosomal RNA", at positions 8 to 806 of the family's 1533-position model. The record is from RNAcentral.
AGAGUUUGAUUCUGGCUCAGGAUGAACGCUAGCUACAGGCUUAACACAUGCAAGUCGAGGGGCAGCGGGAUUGAAGCUUGCUUCAAUUGCCGGCGACCGGCGCACGGGUGAGUAACGCGUAUCCAACCUUCCGUACACUCAGGGAUAGCCUUUCGAAAGAAAGAUUAAUACCUGAUGGUAUGAUGAGAUUGCAUGAUAGCAUCAUUAAAGAUUUAUCGGUGUACGAUGGGGAUGCGUUCCAUUAGGUAGUAGGCGGGGUAACGGCCCACCUAGCCAACGAUGGAUAGGGGUUCUGAGAGGAAGGUCCCCCACAUUGGAACUGAGACACGGUCCAAACUCCUACGGGAGGCAGCAGUGAGGAAUAUUGGUCAAUGGACGAGAGUCUGAACCAGCCAAGUAGCGUGAAGGAUGAAGGUCCUACGGAUUGUAAACUUCUUUUAUAAGGGAAUAAAACCUCCCACGUGUGGGAGCUUGUAUGUACCUUAUGAAUAAGCAUCGGCUAACUCCGUGCCAGCAGCCGCGGUAAUACGGAGGAUGCGAGCGUUAUCCGGAUUUAUUGGGUUUAAAGGGAGCGCAGACGGGUCGUUAAGUCAGCUGUGAAAGUUUGGGGCUCAACCUUAAAAUUGCAGUUGAUACUGGCGUCCUUGAGUGCGGUUGAGGUGUGCGGAAUUCGUGGUGUAGCGGUGAAAUGCUUAGAUAUCACGAAGAACUCCGAUUGCGAAGGCAGCACACUAAUCCGUAACUGACGUUCAUGCUCGAAAGUGUGGGUAUCAAACAGGAUUAGAUACCCUGGUAGUCCACACGGUAAA